This 75-nucleotide transfer RNA is filed under the name Cordylochernes scorpioides. Its description in RNAcentral is "tRNA-Thr". Lineage: Eukaryota; Metazoa; Arthropoda; Arachnida; Pseudoscorpiones; Chernetidae. The record is from RNAcentral.
UGUCUAGGGAUGGGAAUCGAACCCACAGUGUUCCGCUUACUGGGCAGAUGCCAUGUCCACUAGGCUACCCUGGAC